AAUACAAAGCGUCCCUCUGCUGGGAGUGGGCCACUGAUGAAAAUUUGUAUUCCAAGCUCAUAUAGGACCGAGAAAAGUUCCUUGAAAUCUUCUUCUUUUACAUACAGCUAUUCUCUGUAGAUGUCAUUUGCUCCAACAUGCACAAUGAUAUGCUUGAUAGUUGCAUAUUUUGACACCAGUUCUGCAAGCUUGUUUUUUGUGUCAGACACAGAAGCAUUUGGGAAACAACAUACAAUCAUCCUUUCCCCAUUUAUAUGUCUCACAGCAGAGUCGCCUAGAACGAGGGUUGUGGGAUGAAUAGGUGUCGAGUGCUGCUUCAUGUCUGUGCCCAUCUUUCUAUUGUUGUGGUUUGAUCGCUGCCUGCUUUGGGUCUGUUCCCUGGGAAAUUCCUUUCUCACGUCCCGGAGGCAUUCAAAUGUGUUCCAUAGUGUUAGGGGCUGUGGGCUUCCCUUAGGACCACAAGCCCUGGAGUAGUUUGCUGAUCUGUCAGUAUUUCUGAUAUGAGGCCUGAAGUUAACCUCUGAAUUUACUGGUGUUGAGGUAAUUACUGUUCUUGUAUUACGUUUUUUGUUUUUUGGUCUGGCACCUUGCCUGUGCCAAGGCUCUGUACUCACAUUUCCCUUUGUGAGGUCGAUGCAUUCAUCUGCUCUAUUAGCAGUGAUAUUAGACUGCUGGGUUACAUUCUCUGCAUUUCCAGUAGUUGCUGUACUCACUUCAUGAGAUGCCUCUCGUAGUUCAUCUGUCGUUGAUGGAAGGGCAUGCAUCUUUGAUUCCAAAAGUAGAAAUCCUCUGUUCUAGCUCAGUACAUUUUCGGUAUGAUCUCCUGGGUCUCUGGCCGGAGGAGCGCAUUUUGUUUUAAUCCAACUUCAAGGUGAAUUGCCGUUCAGUUUUUGCUCGUUGACUUGGCUGGCUCAUUUAAAGUAAAAAACUAACCACUAAAGUUUCAGAUUUUAAAUGUACUGGUUUCACUGUUUUUGCUAAACUAGCUUGUAAAUGAAAUAAAAGAAUGAAAAAGAAUGGAAAUUGCUAAAAGGAUAGGUGAAGCAGGAGCAGUGUGAAAUGCGUCCUACUCGCUUGAGUAGGCGUGUGUCUUUGUAGAGGGAUUCAUGAAUGGUUGUCGUUCGACUCCUCCUAAUUCCUGCCUUGCGUUAAAUUCCUCCCUGCUUGCUCAGGUAUGUUCUAUUAACUGCAUACAUAGAUUCCAGCUUGUUUGCAUACACUGAUUUUUAACGGACUAAUAAUUGCAUUUCCCAGCCGUGAAUUACAGAUCGUGCUGCCAAUACGGAGUGGGUAUGUAAUACAAUAUUUGAAUAGAGAUAAUAGAUUAAUAAUGGCGUGUGUUUUUUAAACUGUAUUCUGCCUUUCAGGUGAUAUGCUAUAAUUGUCACAGGGGUGACUACAUUCCAAUGGGGGGCGGAACUAAUCUGUGUUAGUUUUCCCCGUAGGGAACAGUUUUAGCGAAACCAUCCGGGAUUAAGAUGGCGGCGCACUGUCCCAAAAUGUAAACAUGGUAGCACAGGCUGUUUGCGCUGUGUUAAUUUAAUUAUUGUUCCAAUGCAGCUCAGCUGGAUGGCGGGAGGAAUUCGUUUCAAUGAUUGGUGUGCUUUUAGAGGGGGAGCACUAUGCUGCAGGUAUUCAACAAACAACACGACCGGGAGACUGGAGACGACGCGGGCUGGGCUACGGUGAAGACGAGCGACUGGAGACCGGAGGAAAAGACGAUUACCGAGACAGGCAUUCAGUGGAGGAAACCGGGAACCCUGGAAGACGGAGAAUCAAGAGGGCAGCUACAGCUAAGUACCCAUGGAGAUGUGCUGCUAGUGUAUCGUUGCUAUCGGCUAGCCUUCGGUGCUGCCUGGGUGAUCGUAGGCUACUGGGAUUGCCUGUAUUUGUGCAUUGUUCCCCUGUAUAAUCAUGUUGCUGUGCCCACUAAGAAAUGUGCAUGCGAGUUUGAGUUUUCACAGAUUGCAGUGCUGAGUGAGUUUUCACAGAUUGCAGUGUUGUGUAUUUUGCACUGAAUACAGCCUCCAGUAGCCUGUCCCCGAAGCUGGCCCCGCUGAGCACUCGGAUGAGACACUGGCCUUCGCGUGGGUGGAGUUCGGCAGACAGGAGUGAGAAGCGAAGGCAGUGACGCUAAGUGGUCCCUUUAUCGAACAGUAUUAUCAGUGUACCAUUCAGCUGUGCUGGCUAACCUGUUUGCAUGCUAGUUGGGCUGUUUUUGAACACUAUUGUUCUGACCUUGCUGUGACGUGCUGUGCCUUGAAGUGUCUGUCAGAGCAACCUCUGUUAAUCUCAUGAGUGUGACCGGCUGUGGUGUUCUUCUUGACCUUGUUGCAGCCCCAGGCCCACCAGCCGCUACCCACACUUGGGCCGAACCCCUGGGCGUUAAGCCCUGUGCCCCGGCCACUGAUGACUAGCUUGCUCGCCCCCACCAGACGAGCCGUACCCGCCGCUGUCCAGCCACUGACGAGACCCCUGCUAGACGAGCCCCACUGACGAGGCCCCCACCAGACGUUUUGUGCCUACCACUGCCCCGCCGCUGUCCAGCCACUGACGAGGCCCCCACUAGACGAGCCGUACCCGCCGCUACCCCAAUGCUGUCCAGCCACGGGUGAGGUUCCCGCCGGGCGAACCGUACCUGCCGCUGCCCCAGUGCCCUCCAGCUUCUAUCCCCCCGGCCUCUACACUCUCCUGGGCCACGACGACUGAACCCCCCCCCUUCCCUUUAGUAUAAAUUUUACCCCCCAAUAAAGAUUUUUUGAUUUUAACUUUA
This is a long non-coding RNA of Alosa sapidissima (American shad), 2773 nucleotides long. RefSeq lists it as uncharacterized. NCBI's taxonomy places the organism in Eukaryota, Metazoa, Chordata, Actinopteri, Clupeiformes, Clupeidae. The record is from RefSeq and is a predicted model, not a curated record. The transcript is spliced from 2 exons.